RNAcentral lists this ribosomal RNA (490 nucleotides) under uncultured bacterium. Its description in RNAcentral is "partial 16S ribosomal RNA". It matches the Rfam family "Bacterial small subunit ribosomal RNA", at positions 30 to 507 of the family's 1533-position model. The record is from RNAcentral.
AUUGAACGCUGGCGGCAGGCCUAACACAUGCAAGUCGAACGGUAACAGGAAGCAGCUUGCUGCUUCGCUGACGAGUGGCGGACGGGUGAGUAAUGUCUGGGAAGCUGCCUGAUGGAGGGGGAUAACUACUGGAAACGGUAGCUAAUACCGCAUAAUGUCGCAAGACCAAAGAGGGGGACCUUCGGGCCUCUUGCCAUCGGAUGUGCCCAGAUGGGAUUAGCUUGUUGGUGGGGUAACGGCUCACCAAGGCGACGAUUCCUAGCUGGUCUGAGAGGAUGACCAGCCACACUGGAACUGAGACACGGUCCAGACUCCUACGGGAGGCAGCAGUGGGGAAUAUUGCACAAUGGGCGCAAGCCUGAUGCAGCCAUGCCGCGUGUAUGAAGAAGGCCUUCGGGUUGUAAAGUACUUUCAGCGGGGAGGAAGGGAGUAAAGAUAAUACCUUUGCUCAUUGACGUUACCCGCAGAAGAAGCACCGGCUAACUCCGUG